This 253-nucleotide ribosomal RNA is filed under the name uncultured bacterium. RNAcentral's name for it is "partial 16S ribosomal RNA". It matches the Rfam family "Bacterial small subunit ribosomal RNA", at positions 524 to 776 of the family's 1533-position model. The record is from RNAcentral.
UACGGAGGGUGCGAGCGUUGUUCGGAAUCACUGGGCGUAAAGGGCGUGUAGGCGGUCCGUUAAGUCUGAUGUGAAAGCCCGGGGCUCACCCCCGGAAGUGCAUUGGAAACUGGCGGACUCGAGUCCCGGAGAGGAGGGUGGAAUUCCUGGUGUAGCGGUGAAAUGCGUAGAUAUCAGGAGGAACACCGGUGGCGAAGGCGGCCCUCUGGACGGUGACUGACGCUAAGACGCGAAAGCGUGGGGAGCAAACAGG